UGGAAAGCACAGGGAUCGCAAGACCUUGCGCUUUUGGAGCGGCCGAUGUCUGAUUAGCUAGUUGGUGAGGUAAAGGCUUACCAAGGCGUCGAUCAGUAGCUGGUCUGAGAGGACGACCAGCCACACUGGGACUGAGACACGGCCCAGACUCCUACGGGAGGCAGCAGUGGGGAAUUUUGGACAAUGGGGGAAACCCUGAUCCAGCCAUGCCGCGUGAGUGAAGAAGGCCUUCGGGUUGUAAAGCUCUUUCAGCCGGAACGAAACGGUCACAGCUAAUACCUGUGACUACUGACGGUACCGGAAGAAGAAGCACCGGCUAACUACGUGCCAGCAGCCGCGGUAAUACGUAGGGUGCGAGCGUUAAUCGGAAUUACUGGGCGUAAAUGCGUGCGCAGGCGGUUUUUAAGUCAGAU
This 413-nucleotide ribosomal RNA is filed under the name uncultured Nitrosospira sp. Its description in RNAcentral is "bacterial SSU rRNA". It matches the Rfam family "Bacterial small subunit ribosomal RNA", at positions 200 to 593 of the family's 1533-position model. Lineage: Bacteria; Pseudomonadati; Pseudomonadota; Betaproteobacteria; Nitrosomonadales; Nitrosomonadaceae. The record is from RNAcentral.